AUAUAAUACUCGAAAGUCAAGUCAGGUGAAAUCUUCUAACCUUAUAAGAUUUUUUCAGGACAGCAAAAUAAUGUCGUGCAUCUAGCCCAAACCUAUUUGAGAGUUUUAGCAUUUGUGAAUUAGGGGUUUACAUAGCCAAUGGGUUCGUAAUUCCAACUCACUAGGGUUUUCAUAAAGGAGAUCUUCAAGGUCCACUAAAUCUAAGUUUAGUUCUAAUGUCAACAUGUUAGAGGAAAGCGUUAACAUGAGAAUUUUGAUAUAGUAGAAAGCAGCAGAAAGAAAGCUUGCUAAUGUUUUACCUAUGCAUGAUAAUGAUAUUUUUCCUGGUAGGUCAUUAGAUAGCUAGGAAUCACAUGAUUGUAAUCUUACUACUACUAUUGCACCACUUGUUUCUGGAGAACAAGUGUUGAUAGUAGUGGACUAGAGAAAGUGAGUGGUAGUGAGUUUCUUGAAUUUUGCAAUUGAAUUAGUUCACAUAAUCGAAGGGUUCCUAGUUCCAACUCACUAGGGUUAUGUGGACAAAUUGUACAGAUGCAAGCUAAAAUUUGUUGCGGAGGUUUCUUGGCUUCAUGAAAGUCCUUUGAGGCUGCUGUUUCCGAGGCUCUGCAGAGUUGUGAGAUUAGACAACUUUUUGUCAACCUUUCCCUUUCUAUCGGAUGUCCCUGAAGGAGUUUCAGGGGUGGAAUCUUGUGUUCAGAAGAAAUCCCAAUGAUUAGAGAUAAAUGAAUGGCUCAUUUUCUCAGAAUUGUUUCAAGAUAUAGUGUCUAUUUUAACAAUUCAUCAGAGCAUCUAAAAGGUCUUCUUAUGUCUCUUCCAAAUGGACGGACUCUUCGAUAAUUCAAAAUUGCACGAUCAAGGCUAUUAGGUAAGCUAAAAUUCCAGGAAAUGAUGUUUUAUAUGCACCCUACUAGUUCAAGAUCAAUUGCACACCUUGCAACAAAGUGGAACGGAUGAUUCCUAAAUA
This is a long non-coding RNA of Cucurbita maxima (winter squash), 964 nucleotides long. RefSeq lists it as uncharacterized. The record is from RefSeq and is a predicted model, not a curated record. The transcript is spliced from 3 exons. NCBI's taxonomy places the organism in Eukaryota, Viridiplantae, Streptophyta, Magnoliopsida, Cucurbitales, Cucurbitaceae.